Molecule: ribosomal RNA, 809 nt
Filed under: Enterococcus casseliflavus
Lineage: Bacteria; Bacillati; Bacillota; Bacilli; Lactobacillales; Enterococcaceae
Description: bacterial SSU rRNA
Rfam family: Bacterial small subunit ribosomal RNA
Source: RNAcentral
CUAACCAGAAAGCCACGGCUAACUACGUGCCAGCAGCCGCGGUAAUACGUAGGUGGCAAGCGUUGUCCGGAUUUAUUGGGCGUAAAGCGAGCGCAGGCGGUUUCUUAAGUCUGAUGUGAAAGCCCCCGGCUCAACCGGGGAGGGUCAUUGGAAACUGGGAGACUUGAGUGCAGAAGAGGAGAGUGGAAUUCCAUGUGUAGCGGUGAAAUGCGUAGAUAUAUGGAGGAACACCAGUGGCGAAGGCGGCUCUCUGGUCUGUAACUGACGCUGAGGCUCGAAAGCGUGGGGAGCGAACAGGAUUAGAUACCCUGGUAGUCCACGCCGUAAACGAUGAGUGCUAAGUGUUGGAGGGUUUCCGCCCUUCAGUGCUGCAGCAAACGCAUUAAGCACUCCGCCUGGGGAGUACGACCGCAAGGUUGAAACUCAAAGGAAUUGACGGGGGCCCGCACAAGCGGUGGAGCAUGUGGUUUAAUUCGAAGCAACGCGAAGAACCUUACCAGGUCUUGACAUCCUUUGACCACUCUAGAGAUAGAGCUUCCCCUUCGGGGGCAAAGUGACAGGUGGUGCAUGGUUGUCGUCAGCUCGUGUCGUGAGAUGUUGGGUUAAGUCCCGCAACGAGCGCAACCCUUAUUGUUAGUUGCCAUCAUUUAGUUGGGCACUCUAGCGAGACUGCCGGUGACAAACCGGAGGAAGGUGGGGAUGACGUCAAAUCAUCAUGCCCCUUAUGACCUGGGCUACACACGUGCUACAAUGGGAAGUACAACGAGUUGCGAAGUCGCGAGGCUAAGCUAAUCUCUUAAAGCUUCUCU